This is a long non-coding RNA of Dipodomys ordii (Ord's kangaroo rat), 403 nucleotides long. RefSeq lists it as uncharacterized. NCBI's taxonomy places the organism in Eukaryota, Metazoa, Chordata, Mammalia, Rodentia, Heteromyidae. The record is from RefSeq and is a predicted model, not a curated record. The transcript is spliced from 3 exons.
GCGGCCACCGAAGUGGAGAGCUGAGUGUUUUUGCCUUUCUGGGGGUCCUGGCGGGCUUUCUGUGUCGUCAGAAGGCCACCAGCAGCCCCUCGGGGUGCCCGAGGUCGCUGGUGUUCCUGACCCUGUUUGGGGUUAAGCUGGGCUGCUUCUCUUAGGUGUAGAGGAACUCAGCCAACUACCAUCUAAGACCUGUCAUUACCCUGAAAGCAUUAUGUUGUGAAAAACCCAUGUGGAGAAGAUCUGGAAGAUGAGACAUUUCAUAGAGAAGUGAAGAAGCAACAAGGACAGAUCUCAGAGUGAAAAAGUCGCUUGGGAAAUGGACCUGCCAGCCUCAGCAGCCCCGUGUUGCCAUUAAAUCAGCUGUAAAUCAGUACAGCAAAUAAAAUAAUUUGUUCUAAGCUUU